Erinaceus europaeus (western European hedgehog) is the source of this 598-nucleotide long non-coding RNA. RefSeq lists it as uncharacterized. Lineage: Eukaryota; Metazoa; Chordata; Mammalia; Eulipotyphla; Erinaceidae. The record is from RefSeq and is a predicted model, not a curated record. The transcript is spliced from 3 exons.
GUUAACAGUGGACGACAGUGCUGGGAAGAGCAGAGGAGGGCAAGGAGUGAGCCCCUGGGGGAGCACGUUGGGCAGAAGGAGUGUGCCUUACUAGUGAAGAAAGGUUCUUAGAAGAGAGCCAGGUUGUGGUGCACCUGGUUCAGUGCACAUAGUUCGAAGCACAAGGACCCAUGAAAGAAUCCCAUUUCAGGCCCCUGGCUUCCCACCUGCAAGAGGAGUCUCUUCACAAGCAGUGAAGCAGGUUCCAGAUGCUACCAUGAUGCUAACCUGACUUCCCUGGGCAGAUGAGCCCAUUACUGUGUCCUGAAGCCUCACCUCCCCAGAUCACUGUCCCACUAGGGAAAGAGACAGGUUGGGAGUGUAUGGAUUGACCUGCCAAUGCCCAUAUUCAGUGGGGAAGCAAUUACAGAAGCCAGACCUUCCACUUUCUGCACCCCAUAAUGAUCCUGGGUCCAUACUCCCAAAAAGAUAAAGAAUAGGAAAGCUAUCAAGAAAGGGGAUUGGAUAUGGAGUUCUGGUGGUGGGAAUUGUGUGGAAUUGUUCCCCCUUUAUCUUAUAGUCAUGCAAAUAUUUCCAUUUUAUAAAUAAAUAUAAUAAC